This 253-nucleotide ribosomal RNA is filed under the name uncultured bacterium. Its description in RNAcentral is "partial 16S ribosomal RNA". It matches the Rfam family "Bacterial small subunit ribosomal RNA", at positions 524 to 776 of the family's 1533-position model. The record is from RNAcentral.
UACGUAGGGUGCAAGCGUUGUCCGGAAUUAUUGGGCGUAAAGAGCUUGUAGGCGGUUUGUCGCGUCUGCUGUGAAAUUUCGGGGCUCAACCCCGAACUUGCAGUGGGUACGGGCAGGCUAGAGUGUGGUAGGGGAGACUGGAAUUCCUGGUGUAGCGGUGAAAUGCGCAGAUAUCAGGAAGAACACCCGUGGCGAAGGCGGCUCUCUGGGACGGUACUGACGCUGAGACGCGAAAGCGUGGGGAGCGAACAGG